Molecule: long non-coding RNA, 2582 nt
Organism: Triticum urartu
Lineage: Eukaryota; Viridiplantae; Streptophyta; Magnoliopsida; Poales; Poaceae
Source: RefSeq, a predicted model, not a curated record
GAAAUGAGAAGCGAUUCGUCGGAUUAGGAACACGUUUUCAUUGGCCAGCUGCCCCAGGUUUCUCCACGCGCAACCUCCUCCUCUGCUCCUUUCUCUUCCUCGGCGCCGCCGGAUCUGCGGCAGCUCCUGCCGCACCGAGGGAGCACGGCGCCGCUGAGAUGCGGGGCGAUGCGCUGCCGCCUACCGCGCCCUUGGCCUUCCCUCCUCUACGGCGACGGCGAGCUCUUCGAGUCGGGGGCCUCGCCGCUCGUCUUCCUGCCCUGCUCCUGAUCCAGGGCGGCGGCAUGAACCUCUCCCGCGUCGACGAGAAUCUCCUCAGCUCCGUCUGCUGCGCGCGCUCCCUCGCCCUCCUCCCCCCGACCCCAGCCCCUUCCCGUGUCGAGGUUCCAGCUCGAGCUGUUGUUGCGGCGACGACUGGAUUUGAUGUCACUGAAGUUCUAAAAAUUACAUGAUGGCUUGCUUAAUUUUCUUCAUUAAGAGCAGAGAAGGAGAGGGAAGAGAAAGACAAAGAUAUUUAGCUUUCCUUCCAGUUAUCAUUGCAUUACUUUUCUUUAGGGUUUUCGAUCAUUGGUUCUAAGAAAUUAACCCCAAGAAAGGGUGCCUUCUGAUGUCUAUAAAUCUAAGCUUUAUCUGUUCUUGGGAUCCGAUGGAAGCUUGUGAUUUAGGAUUAAUUAGAUUAUCUGAUCACAAAAGUGGCUCCUUUCUUGGUUUGUUCUUGUCCCUGUAAGCUGAGCUUCUAUCCAUCUGUCCGUAAUAGAAGAAGCUUAUUUCCUUCCUAGGCUUGUAGUAUCAUCUCAUGCUCCCUUGUGCUGUGAAUUCGUAAUGCAAUGUAUACAAAUUGGAGGCAGCCUCCCUGUUUACAGUACUACUUACUACAGUUUUUUCAUUAAUUAAUUGGCUUAACUUGUACUUGCGCCUGCGCUUUUCUGCUAGAAUAAUGGGCCUUUUGCACUAAAUCCAUCAUUAACAAUGCCAUUUUUAUAAUGCUUGCAUGCAUCCCUACGAGCAGAUUAACGUGUGCCUAAACAAUAAAAAAAAGCCGAGAUACACAUCCUUCUUGCAAGCAGGAAGACAUGAAGACGGUGACUUGAUCCGCCCAGUCCAGGGGAGGAAAGCAACAGGGAAACCCCACCUUCUGCCACCAGUAUGAGAUAACGGCCAUAGGACACACGAUGCAUCCUGGUGCGCUUAACCCACAGCCAUCAUUUGGUAUGCCCAACAGAAUUUCUUACUGCCACAACUUGUUGUUUCUAGCAGGAUAACGUAUUGUUUGUUGUUGUCUUCGUUACUAUCCUUACAAAAGUCACUGGUCUAGGUUAAUUUUGGCCAUUCUUACUGCUGUUUGACUAAUGGUUUUCUUAUUAUAUUGUUGGUCGCAAAGCUAUCUGGCUACAGAUACGCUUUAACCUUUUUCCCCCAUGUAUUCAGACAGGAUUUGACAUGGAUGAUGUAGUAAGAAUGUACAUCCGAUACACACUGAAUGGAAAACAAUUCAAUCCUGAUGUGGUUCUGGAUCUCAUACGUCUUAGGAAAGCAUCAAUGUUUGAAGAUAAUUAAGUUGCUGAAAUUCUGAAUCAGAUAUCAAGACGAAUUGUUCGGGAAAAAGUGGAUGAGCUCGAGGAGGUGUUCUACGAGGAGGUCGGUGCUGCAUUUUCCGACACAUGGGUCCUGCCGUCUUGUGUCAGUUGGGUUUGAUGCUUUUGAUUUUGAAUUAUGUGAAGGAACUCAACCCCAUAAAGUACAUUCUGGCAAAUAUUUUGGAAGAAGUUGGUGAUGCCACCUAUUUCGAUAAGCAGGUUUAGUGAUCUACUAUCCUAAAUUCCUUGCUAAAAACAUCAUCUGAGAGGAAUAUUUAGCUUGGAUUUCCUCUUGUCAUGGUAUCAACAACACAUCCUUGCCUUUAGCACAGAUAUUUAACUGGUUAAUAUAUAUGCUUUGCUUACUUCAUCAGCCUAUGUUUGAACAUUUUGUAUAAUAUUUUUAACUGGUCAACAUACUUGUAGAUCUACAAUUAUUAUGUUAGGUGUUAGACCCAAUGAAUAAGACCGAUCCCCAGUAAUUUGUUAAUAUCACCAAGUCAGAACCCAUACAGGAGGUGGACUGCAUACUGCAAGUGCCUCACAUUGUUGUAUGUACCUAAUCCAAAGCAAUCCUUUGAUAUCCUCCUAUUUUCCUCUCUAAGAUAUGCAAUAUCCUACUAAUUUUGUUGGUUUGUUAAGUUAUCUUCUUGUACAUAGGUCACAGCUGAUCUAGAGACGAUCUCCACAAAGAAAAUAUUGGGCCAGUUGACCUUCCACGGGCAUGCAUAUCAGAAUCAAAUCAAAAGCCGGAAGCUUCAAUCUUGCCUUAUUCACAUAGCUUUUCAAGAUCAAAUGAGGAUUUGCCUGAUGUGGCCCAUAGCUAGAUAUUUGCACGUGAUAGGUACUUCUUUUUGACUGCUCUAGCUAUGUAAUACACUAUAACAAUCUCUAGGAUUUUAUUUAGCCACCAGUGAAGCCUAGCAGGUAGGUGGGUCAACAGUGAACCUUUUCAAUUGUCAUUAUACCAUUGAUAUCCAAAUCUUGGAUGAGUUUUUCUUGAUU